CCUACGGGAGACAGCAGUGAGGAAUAUUGGUCAAUGGACGAGAGUCUGAACCAGCCAAGUAGCGUGAAGGAUGACUGCCCUAUGGGUUGUAAACUUCUUUUAUAUGGGAAUAAAAUGUUCCACGUGUGGGAUUUUGUAUGUACCAUAUGAAUAAGGAUCGGCUAACUCCGUGCCAGCAGCCGCGGUAAUACGGAGGAUCCGAGCGUUAUCCGGAUUUAUUGGGUUUAAAGGGAGCGUAGGUGGAUUGUUAAGGCAGUUGUGAAAGUUUGCGGCUCAACCGUAAAAUUGCAGUUGAAACUGGCAGUCUUGAGUACCGUAGAGGUGGGCGGAAUUCGUGGUGUAGCGGUGAAAUUCUUAGAUAUCACGAAGAACUCCGAUUGCGAAGGCAGUUCACUGGACUGCAACUGACACUGAGGCUCGAAAGUGUGGGUAUCAAACAGGAUUAGAUACCCCAGUAGUC
Molecule: ribosomal RNA, 460 nt
Filed under: uncultured bacterium
Lineage: Bacteria
Description: partial 16S ribosomal RNA
Rfam family: Bacterial small subunit ribosomal RNA
Source: RNAcentral